RNAcentral lists this ribosomal RNA (766 nucleotides) under uncultured bacterium. RNAcentral's name for it is "bacterial SSU rRNA". It matches the Rfam family "Bacterial small subunit ribosomal RNA", at positions 51 to 830 of the family's 1533-position model. The record is from RNAcentral.
AGGCAUGCAAGUCGUGCGCGAAUCGUAGCAAUACGAGGAGAGCGGCGAAAGGGAGAGGAUACCAUAGAUACCUACCCUCGGACCUGGGAUAGCUAUGGGAAACUAUAGGUAAUACCAGAUAACGUCUCCGGACCAAAGGUGUGAUUCCGUCCGGGGAGGGGUCUAUGUCCUAUUAGCUUGUUGGUGAGGUAACGGCUCACCAAGGCCAAGAUGGGUACGAGGCGUGAGAGCGUGUCCUCGCUCACUGGGACUGAGACACUGCCCAGACACCUACGGGUGGCUGCAGUCGAGAAUCUUCGGCAAUGGGCGCAAGCCUGACCGAGCGACGCCGCGUGUGGGAUGAAGGCCUUCGGGUUGUAAACCACUGUCAGUGCGGAGGAAAUAUAGGGGGGUACUCCCCUCUAUUUGACCUAUGCGCAGAGGAAGGACGGGCUAAGUUCGUGCCAGCAGCCGCGGUAAGACGAACCGUCCAAACGUUAUUCGGAAUCACUGGGCUUAAAGGGUGCGUAGGCGGUCCGAUAAGUUGGGUGUGAAAGACCUCGGCCCAACCGAGGAAUGGCGCCCAAAACUGUCGGACUCGAGCAAGGCAGAGGUGAACGGAACUUAGGGUGGAGCGGUGAAAUGCGUUGAUAUCCUAAGGAACACCAGUAGCGAAAGCGGUUCACUGGGCCUUUUCUGACGCUGAUGCACGAAAGCCAGGGGAGCGAACGGGAUUAGAUACCCCGGUAGUCCUGGUCGUAAACUAUGAGCACUAGAUAGGAGGAAC